UAAUAAUAGUCUAUUUAAUGUCACAAAUUAAAACGACACAGAGAAGAUCAGCAUAGCACCUGUAGAAGGUUGGACGUGAAAUAGUGAACGACUCAAACUAGUAUU
Small nuclear RNA from Leptidea sinapis, 105 nucleotides. The record is from RefSeq and is a predicted model, not a curated record. NCBI's taxonomy places the organism in Eukaryota, Metazoa, Arthropoda, Insecta, Lepidoptera, Pieridae.